This 502-nucleotide ribosomal RNA is filed under the name uncultured bacterium. Its description in RNAcentral is "partial 16S ribosomal RNA". It matches the Rfam family "Bacterial small subunit ribosomal RNA", at positions 28 to 507 of the family's 1533-position model. The record is from RNAcentral.
GACGAACGCUGGCGGCGUGCUUAACACAUGCAAGUCGAACGGUGAAGGGGUCUGCUUUUGUGGGCCCUGGAUGAGUGGCGAACGGGUGAGUAACACGUGAGUAACCUGCCCCCUUCUUCUGGAUAACCGCAUGAAAGUGUGGCUAAUACGGGAUAUUCUGGGUCUGUCGCAUGAUGGGUCUGGGAAAGAUUGCGCCUUUGGGUGUUUUUGGUGGGGGAUGGGCUCGCGGCCUAUCAGCUUGUUGGUGGGGUGGUGGCCUACCAAGGCGGUGACGGGUAGCCGGCCUGAGAGGGUGGACGGUCACACUGGGACUGAGACACGGCCCAGACUCCUACGGGAGGCAGCAGUGGGGAAUAUUGCACAAUGGGCGCAAGCCUGAUGCAGCGACGCCGCGUGAGGGAUGGAGGCCUUCGGGGUGUAAACCUCUUUCGCCAGUGAAGCAGGCCUGCUCCGUGUGGGUGGGUUGACGGUAGCUGGAUAAGAAGCGCCGGCUAACUACGUG